RNAcentral lists this ribosomal RNA (466 nucleotides) under uncultured bacterium. Its description in RNAcentral is "partial 16S ribosomal RNA". It matches the Rfam family "Bacterial small subunit ribosomal RNA", at positions 28 to 507 of the family's 1533-position model. The record is from RNAcentral.
GACGAACGCUGGCGGCGUGCUUAACACAUGCAAGUCGAACGGAAAGGCCCUGCUUGCCGGGUACUCGAGUGGCGAACGGGUGAGUAACACGUGGGUGAUCUGCCCUGCACUUCGGGAUAAGCUUGGGAAACUGGGUCUAAUACCGGAUAGGAGCCAUCUUUAGUGUGGUGGUUGGAAAGUUUUUUCGGUGUAGGAUGAGCUCGCGGCCUAUCAGCUUGUUGGUGGGGUAAUGGCCUACCAAGGCGGCGACGGGUAGCCGGCCUGAGAGGGUGUACGGCCACAUUGGGACUGAGAUACGGCCCAGACUCCUACGGGAGGCAGCAGUGGGGAAUAUUGCACAAUGGGCGCAAGCCUGAUGCAGCGACGCCGCGUGGGGGAUGAAGGCCUUCGGGUUGUAAACUCCUGUCGCUAGGGACGAAGCUUUUUUGUGACGGUACCUAGAUAAGAAGCACCGGCUAACUACGUG